UACAGAGGUCCCAAGCGUUGUUCGGAUUCAUUGGGCGUAAAGGGUGCGUAGGCGGCGCGGUAAGUCGGGUGUGAAAUCUCGGAGCUUAACUCCGAAACUGCAUUCGAUACUGCCGUGCUUGAGGACUGGAGAGGAGACUGGAAUUUACGGUGUAGCGGUGAAAUGCGUAGAUAUCGUCAAGAACACCGAUAGUGAAGACAGCUUACUAGGCUUAUACUGACGCUGAGGCACGAAAGUGUGGGGAUCAAACAGG
RNAcentral lists this ribosomal RNA (253 nucleotides) under uncultured bacterium. RNAcentral describes it as "partial 16S ribosomal RNA". It matches the Rfam family "Bacterial small subunit ribosomal RNA", at positions 524 to 776 of the family's 1533-position model. The record is from RNAcentral.